GACAGAGGAGCCAAGCGUUGUCCGGAUUGACUGGGCGUAAAGCGCACGCAGGCGGCCCGGCGCGUGGGGUGUGAAAGCUGGCGGCUUAACUGCCAGACGCCAUCCCAUACGGCUGGGCUCGAGCCCUGCAGAGGUCCAUGGAAUUGCCGGUGUAGUGGUGAAAUGCGUAGAGAUCGGCAGGAACACCCAGGGGGAAACCAGUGGACUGGGCAGGAGCUGACGCUCAGGUGCGAAGGCGUGGGGAGCGAACCGG
This 253-nucleotide ribosomal RNA is filed under the name uncultured bacterium. RNAcentral describes it as "partial 16S ribosomal RNA". It matches the Rfam family "Bacterial small subunit ribosomal RNA", at positions 524 to 776 of the family's 1533-position model. The record is from RNAcentral.